UUCUACCCUUUUUGAACCUCAGCCUUAAACAGGAUGUGAAAACCCUUGCUUUGAAAAUCUUUGCCUUGAGUUAGGUUGAGAAUUAUUUUGUGGUAUUGAUAAAGGUUCAAGUUUCGGGUUGUUGGGAAUGUUGAAAAAGAAAAGCUAGGCAUUUAGCUAAUGUGUUGAAUGAAAAAAACAUGAAAAAGAUAGAAAAGAUAACAUGAAAAGAAAAGCUCAAUGUGAAGAAAAGGGAAAGUUGGGAAUGAGUGAGAUUGGUAAAAAAAAGAGUUUGUGCUUGAAAUAUGAUUGUUUGAAAGACUCUCUUAACUCAAGGAUUUUGUGAUCUAGAAAAACCAAUUUUU
RNAcentral lists this long non-coding RNA (344 nucleotides) under Vigna radiata. RNAcentral describes it as "long non-coding RNA (VRAD_LNC017601)". The record is from RNAcentral. Lineage: Eukaryota; Viridiplantae; Streptophyta; Magnoliopsida; Fabales; Fabaceae.